This 480-nucleotide ribosomal RNA is filed under the name uncultured bacterium. RNAcentral's name for it is "partial 16S ribosomal RNA". It matches the Rfam family "Bacterial small subunit ribosomal RNA", at positions 28 to 506 of the family's 1533-position model. The record is from RNAcentral.
GACGAACGUUGGCGGCGUGCUUAAUACAUGCAAGUCAACUGAAGCAGUGGUAGCAAUAUCGCUGUGGAGGUGGCGCACGGGUGAGUAACACGUAGGUAAUCUGCCUUCAGGUCUGGCAUAACUCCGGGAAACCGGGGCUAAUAGCAGAUGAUGCAGCGGCUCGACAUCGAGACAGUUGUUAAAGCUAUGGCGCCUGAAGAUGAGCCUGCGUCUGAUUAGCUAGUUGGCGGGGUAACGGCCCACCAAGGCAACGAUCAGUAGCUGGUCUGAGAGGAUGAUCAGCCACACUGGAACUGAGACACGGUCCAGACUCCUACGGGAGGCAGCAGUAAGGAAUAUUGCUCAAUGGGAGAAAUCCUGAAGCAGCAACGCCGCGUGAGGGACGAAGGGCCUUUGCUUGUAAACCUCUGUAGUGAGAGAAAAAAAUCCCAAUCUUUGGGACAUGAUGGUAUCUCAAAAGUAAGCCCCGGCUAACUACGU